Molecule: long non-coding RNA, 239 nt
Organism: Lolium rigidum
Lineage: Eukaryota; Viridiplantae; Streptophyta; Magnoliopsida; Poales; Poaceae
Exons: 2
Source: RefSeq, a predicted model, not a curated record
UGUGGAUGUAAUCGAUCCCCUUAUAGUCUCCAAUCCCCCUGCCUAGAUUGCAACCGUUGAAAGCAAUAGGCAGCGAUGGGAAAUGGCACUCAGAGAUGAAUUAAUUUUUUCUUGAAAAGAAAAAGGAUGAGACAAGUGAAAUUAUAGAUCCUUCAGCAACCAGCGGGAACAAAAAAAUCUGAGCAAUGACUAAUGUAUAAUGAAGUGGUAUGGUUUGGAAAAGAAAUGUGUGUUUUGUA